Molecule: ribosomal RNA, 1303 nt
Filed under: Shigella sonnei
Lineage: Bacteria; Pseudomonadati; Pseudomonadota; Gammaproteobacteria; Enterobacterales; Enterobacteriaceae
Description: partial 23S ribosomal RNA
Rfam family: Bacterial large subunit ribosomal RNA
Source: RNAcentral
UCCUGACUGACCGAUAGUGAACCAGUACCGUGAGGGAAAGGCGAAAAGAACCCCGGCGAGGGGAGUGAAAAAGAACCUGAAACCGUGUACGUACAAGCAGUGGGAGCACGCUUAGGCGUGUGACUGCGUACCUUUUGUAUAAUGGGUCAGCGACUUAUAUUCUGUAGCAAGGUUAACCGAAUAGGGGAGCCGAAGGGAAACCGAGUCUUAACUGGGCGUUAAGUUGCAGGGUAUAGACCCGAAACCCGGUGAUCUAGCCAUGGGCAGGUUGAAGGUUGGGUAACACUAACUGGAGGACCGAACCGACUAAUGUUGAAAAAUUAGCGGAUGACUUGUGGCUGGGGGUGAAAGGCCAAUCAAACCGGGAGAUAGCUGGUUCUCCCCGAAAGCUAUUUAGGUAGCGCCUCGUGAAUUCAUCUCCGGGGGUAGAGCACUGUUUCGGCAAGGGGGUCAUCCCGACUUACCAACCCGAUGCAAACUGCGAAUACCGGAGAAUGUUAUCACGGGAGACACACGGCGGGUGCUAACGUCCGUCGUGAAGAGGGAAACAACCCAGACCGCCAGCUAAGGUCCCAAAGUCAUGGUUAAGUGGGAAACGAUGUGGGAAGGCCCAGACAGCCAGGAUGUUGGCUUAGAAGCAGCCAUCAUUUAAAGAAAGCGUAAUAGCUCACUGGUCGAGUCGGCCUGCGCGGAAGAUGUAACGGGGCUAAACCAUGCACCGAAGCUGCGGCAGCGAUGCUUAUGCGUUGUUGGGUAGGGGAGCGUUCUGUAAGCCUGCGAAGGUGUGCUGUGAGGCAUGCUGGAGGUAUCAGAAGUGCGAAUGCUGACAUAAGUAACGAUAAAGCGGGUGAAAAGCCCGCUCGCCGGAAGACCAAGGGUUCCUGUCCAACGUUAAUCGGGGCAGGGUGAGUCGACCCCUAAGGCGAGGCCGAAAGGCGUAGUCGAUGGGAAACAGGUUAAUAUUCCUGUACUUGGUGUUACUGCGAAGGGGGGACGGAGAAGGCUAUGUUGGCCGGGCGACGGUUGUCCCGGUUUAAGCGUGUAGGCUGGUUUUCCAGGCAAAUCCGGAAAAUCAAGGCUGAGGCGUGAUGACGAGGCACUACGGUGCUGAAGCAACAAAUGCCCUGCUUCCAGGAAAAGCCUCUAAGCAUCAGGUAACAUCAAAUCGUACCCCAAACCGACACAGGUGGUCAGGUAGAGAAUACCAAGGCGCUUGAGAGAACUCGGGUGAAGGAACUAGGCAAAAUGGUGCCGUAACUUCGGGAGAAGGCACGCUGAUAUGUAGGUGAAGUCCCUUGCGGAU